RNAcentral lists this ribosomal RNA (451 nucleotides) under uncultured archaeon. Its description in RNAcentral is "bacterial SSU rRNA". It matches the Rfam family "Archaeal small subunit ribosomal RNA", at positions 44 to 473 of the family's 1478-position model. The record is from RNAcentral.
CUAAGACAUGCGAGUCGAGCGUCUCUAGCUAUGUUGAGACGCGGCAGACGGCUCAGUAACACGUGGCUAACCUACCCUCAGGACAGGGACAAACCCGGGAAACUGGGGCUAAUACCAGAUAGGCGAAGACGCCUGGAAUGGUUCUUCACCCAAAGGACCUUGGAGACAUGCUUCCAAGUCGCCUGGGGAUGGGGCCGCGUCCGAUCAGGUUGUUGGUGGGGUAAUGGCUCACCAAGCCUAUAACCGGUACGGGCCGUGAGAGCGGUAGCCUGGAGAUGGGCACUGAGACAAGGGCCCAGGCCCUACGGGGCGCAGCAGUCGCGAAAACUCCGCAAUGCACGAAGGUGUGACGGGGCUACCCCGAGUGCCGUCCGCUGAGGAUGGCUUUUCCUCGGCGUUACUAGCCGGGGGAAAUAGGAGAGGGGCAGACUGGUGUCAGCCGCCGCGGGUA